Molecule: unclassified non-coding RNA, 183 nt
Filed under: soil metagenome
Description: partial internal transcribed spacer 1
Source: RNAcentral
CCGAGUUUACAACUCCCAAACCCAAUGUGAACCAUACCAAACUGUUGCCUCGGCGGGGUCACGCCCCGGGUGCGUCGCAGCCCCGGAACCAGGCGCCCGCCGGAGGGACCAACCAAACUCUUUCUGUAGUCCCCUCGCGGACGUUAUUUCUUACAACUCUGAGCAAAAAUUCAAAAUGAAUCA